RNAcentral lists this transfer RNA (74 nucleotides) under Candidatus Levyibacteriota bacterium. RNAcentral's name for it is "tRNA-Gln". It matches the Rfam family "tRNA". From Rfam's summary of the family: Transfer RNA (tRNA) molecules are approximately 80 nucleotides in length. The record is from RNAcentral. Lineage: Bacteria; Candidatus Levyibacteriota.
UCCGGGAUCGUCCAAUGGUAAGACGCAUGGCUCUGAACCAUGUAAUCUACGUUCGAAUCGUAGUCCCGGAACCA